Molecule: small RNA, 251 nt
Filed under: Arabidopsis thaliana (thale cress)
Lineage: Eukaryota; Viridiplantae; Streptophyta; Magnoliopsida; Brassicales; Brassicaceae
Description: ATSL022240
Source: RNAcentral
GAAACCAUCUUGGUCAUUCUCCUUAUGUUUGGUCAAACAUCUAAUCCGAUUGAUAAUUUAGGAUUUAAUACAAAUGAGCAAGUCUCUUUCGCCAAAACAUCCUUUCUACGAUUUAGAUUACGAGAGAUUAAAUUAAAAAUAUAAACAUCGAAAAAAAUAUAGAGAUUGGAUAUCAUGAAGAAUUUCUUGAAACUCCUUUCACUUGAAGCUUUUGAUUAAUUGCUUUGACAAGGAUUAGAAAGUCAGAAACA